GACACAGAGACGUAAAGAGGACUGGUAGGAGCCUGGACUACUUUCCUGCUGCAAAAGAACAGGACCCACAUGAACGGACGGCCUCAAUCACCUGAAACAGAGCUGUGCUCCUCCAACUCCUCCACUGGUUGUUAAACAGGCUGCUCCUCAAGUACAGUUUCUGUGACUGAGGUUGUUGUGAAGUGUGAACACUCAGUAAACUCUAUACAUUCUCGAAGUCUGCUGCUCCUGCUUCUUCUUCUCUGUAUUUUUGUGUAGGGUCAGAGGUCAGUGGUUCGAGACCCGUCUGUGUAGAGAUGGAGUCGAGCUUCAAAACGACAGAGUAUAAAUAUGGAUAUAAUUUACGUAUGUUUUACCAUGUAUGGCGAAUUGUUAUGAAUAACUUUUAGAUGAAUUCUGACUUCCGACCGUUUUCAUCGUUGUUUUAACUGGGCGUCGAACCGGUGAACCUCACAUCACCAACAGUUUCAACACGGUUGACAGUUCCGCAUUAACGGCAGACGGAUGCCCCGCCCCCUCCAAUCAAGGCGCAGAAGCAGUUCCAAUAGUUUCCAAACCCGGAAGACGGUCAGCCAAUCAGAGGGCCGCUGUGGUUCCAAUAUCGAGAAUCAGACUUUGUGGUGACUUCUGUCAUCCAAUCAGAGGCCGGAUUUGUUCCAAUAUUCCUCCAGGACCCUCCCCUGUCACUGGAACCUGCUGAACGGUGCGGACGAGACUCCCAGGGGUUGAUGGGAAAUUUUGCGUGAUGAGCCAUUACGUCAGGCUGCAGGAUUGGAGGGAACAAUAGAUCAACUCGACGCUCCUCCUCCCACAUUGCUCACAGAUGACCCCAGAACACCCUCUCUGCAUCCCCCACCGUGCUUUACCAACAGAAAACUAGCUCCUGCACUCUCAGAGGGGGAGGGAGGACACACAGACAGAAACUCGAUCACUUCCCUGCUACGUGGAAAAUCACGACAGCGACAAGCACCUCAGCUUGAAACAAAUGCAUGGUUUCAUGUUGAAUCCAGCUGAGCUUUUCUAAGCUGGCAGACCAAUCAGAGGGAACCCGAUGUUCCGAUAUCGAGAAUCAGACUUUGGGGACUUCUGUCUUCCGGAUUUGUUCCAAUAUUUCUCCCUCCAUUGUUACUCGCGGUGAACUUGAAUGGCGACCCAGUCGACUACAAGCCCGUUUACAGCAAGUACUGUAAGUUUGAAUUGGUGCCACCAAUGCCACCCUGGUUCUGAGCCGGUGGAAGGUCCAGUUUGGGAAAUACCAGGGUCAGACCUUCCACCGGCUGCUGGAGAAUGACGUGGGCGUCAAUCUGGUGGCCUCCCACCAGAAGGAGUGAGAGAGGACGGGGUCUCAGUCCCCACUCAUGGCCAACGAGGAUGCCUUCACCCGCUUCUCCUCGGCCUACGAUGACUUCAUGGAGGCUGUCAGGUUCCACCAGGUGUUUGAGGAGGUGCAGGUGAGGUCCCUCCAACCCGGUCAAGAGGGACAGACCCUUGUUGGCUUUGAGGACUUCAAAUUUGAGACCCUGCAGAGCCUCUAUGAAUCUGAGGACCGCUCCAAGAUCCGAUUUGUCAACUACCUGCAGAGAAAGGCACCAGCUCCUGGCUCGCAGAUGGAGAACGCCGUCCGCUACGUCCAGAGCAGAGACAGAGAGCGAGUGCUGUAGCUACCACCACCACUACCACUGGCAGCGGCACAGCUUCUGUCUCCGCCCGGCAGACGAGAACAAGUGCAUUGCAAUUUGCCUCUGACGACGGACAAGGCCAGGAAGCUGGUGACCCUGAAGUCUGUGCUUCCAGGCUCCUUCAGACCAGCUCUUGCGCCCAAAACUUCAGAGGAGCCCUCGGACGAAGAGCUGGUCCAAGCGGGGGUUGACACUGAGCAGUGUAACAGUGAAGCAAAUACUGAGAAAAAACCUGAAUUCACAUUGAUUAGUCUUUUUCCCUGUUGUUCAUUUGUAUAAAUUAAGUCAUAUUUUAAUAUCUGUAAAUGUGUGUAUAUAUAAAUACUUGCA
Molecule: long non-coding RNA, 2009 nt
Organism: Mugil cephalus (flathead mullet)
Lineage: Eukaryota; Metazoa; Chordata; Actinopteri; Mugiliformes; Mugilidae
Exons: 8
Source: RefSeq, a predicted model, not a curated record